RNAcentral lists this long non-coding RNA (13558 nucleotides) under Gossypium barbadense (sea-island cotton). RNAcentral's name for it is "long non-coding RNA (GBAR_LNC021814)". The record is from RNAcentral. Lineage: Eukaryota; Viridiplantae; Streptophyta; Magnoliopsida; Malvales; Malvaceae.
CUGGCCUUAAGUUUCGCAUGUCCUAGUCCAAUCCUCAGCAGGCCGUCUUCUGCAUUGUUCUUCUCAUCUUUUGAUAAUGCAUUUUUCUCUACUUCUUGACUGUCGGAACGAGAAUCUAACAUCUUUCUAUUAAGGUCUAAUGUUGAUGUCUCUCUGUCUUUCUCGACUGGAUUUUGCUUGUCUGCACCUACAUUUUCCUUUUGCUGCCCCUUGUUCUUUCCAUCAUGUGGAGGAGAGAAGCUUUGUGGAAGUACCUCUCUGGAGAAGAGGGCUUGAAAAGCCAGUCGUCCCUGAAUAAGUAGUGAAGCCGUAUAGCGAUCAAUGUACAAUACAAUUAGAAUAAUAAUCAAGUUAAGAUAUAUAGGAAAAUUGACACAUCGACUCACCUCUUCAGAUACCUCCUUCCAAGAAUCACUAAGGUUACUGCUGCUUCUACUACGACGGUUACAUUCAACUUGUGGAUGAUUUGGAUCAGCUCCUUUUGGAUCUUCCUUGUCUUUUUCAAGUUUUUCUAACAUGUCUGUCUCUACCUCACUACUUGAAUUGGAACCACAUGAGGACCGGUCAACUUGUUUUCUGUUCUUCAUUUUAUCUACAUCCUGAGGCUCGAUCACUUCAGCAGCCUUCUCAUCAUCAGUAGCUUUCACUUCAGUAUUCGCUUUCGCAUCUACUCUCUCUUCACAGUCUGAUGAUGAUGAAGUAGGUGAUUUAGAUGCUGAAUGCUGACCUUGCAAAGCUUCAGAGUAUUCGGGGUCUAGUCGCUCAUCCUGAGUAGUUAGGGCUAGAUCAGUUUUAUCUUUUUGUUCCAUAUUUGCAGCUGGAGUUUGACCAUUCUCCAUUGGUGGAACUGCAGCAGUGGAUGCAGGAGCACAGGUAAAGCCUGUGUGCAGAGGAGCACAUACAGGAAGCAGUCCAUGGGCGGUCCACCAUGCAGUGGCAGCUGCUACUGUUGCAGCAGCAAUUGCGGCCAUAAUAGGAGCAGAGUUUGUUUGUGUAGAUGGGAAACCUCUUAGUUCAUUUGCGGGAGAAUCGCCAGAACUUUCAACAUUUGCAUAUGGCCAAAAUGUAGCUGCAAAACUUGCUGCAGCAUGAGCAGCUGGAUUCUGUAACAAAGUAGAUACAAUGAGAUUGGAAAAAGUGGAGGAGACAUGUAGAAAUGAUCGAUACUCCUCUUGAUCGGGCCGAAGAUGUAUAAAGGGAAUAUGAAAAGGUGGCAAUGCCUGAUGAGUAGAUUUUGGUGCAUUAUUCUGAUGUUCAGUAGUUGCCGAUGCAGCUGGAUUUACAAACAGGUUAGGUCCAUGAACAUCGCCCAUAGGGUGAAAUACAGAAUCUUGAAAUGACAUACCCAGGGAAGGAUUUUGAACACAUGUUCUAAGGCUUCCAUCUAGGACAUGCACAGCAACAUGCCGAGGAUAAUUUUGAGCAGCUUGCAUCUCAUCUGCACAAAAAGCACCAUCCAAAUCAUCUUUUCUCUGGCCUUGAGCUGAUUUCUCAUAUGAAGUGCAAGACUUCUCCAAGUUUGAAGCCUUACUUGUACCAUUAUCAUGAAAUAUCUGUUGGACAUUAAGUUUAUAAGGUUCACAAAUUUCUUUAAGUUCAAGAAUAGCAUAGAAUUCAUGUUUUUCAUGAUUUACUACCUCUUUUGGCAAAGGUACAAACUCCCUGAAUGUACAAGAGCUUUUGAGUGCUGCUGACAUUGGUAUAAAAUUCUUAUUCAUGGAAGACGCAGAGGAGCAGUUUUGUUCGUGGAGAAGGGUAAAAACCUCAGAGCAACUCUCGUCUUGAUUUUCUUUCAGAUUUGUAGCCUUUUCAUCUCCAGUAGGUCUCUGACAAACACAAUAUAUUUGAAGCUUACGUUAAAAAGAAGAAAAGAAAAAGAACAUAAUUAAGAGCAUGAAUAAAGUAGUUGAGGAGGAGAAAGAAACCUCUGGAAGUGGUUCUUUCUCCAAGUCCAACAUUUGCUUGCAACGCAAAGAAGAUAAUGGCAUUUCAGAUUUUCCAUCCUUAGCUCCCUCUUGUACUGUAGUAGCAGCACUGGUUUUUCGAGGAUAAGGAUUGCUUGGUUUUCUUUUAGGGCGUGGAGGUGGAAUCUCUAUGUCAAGAGCUUGACCUAUUGGUACACCUUUAGCAAGUGCCUCCUUCUCCAACUGAGAAUGGAUUAUUGUCAGUAGCAUCAAUAAAAUGAAAAUACAUAAGAGAAAUCUUACGAGUUUUUGGAGGCACCAAUGAAGCAUCAAUAUAAUAUUAACAACGUGCAACACUAAAAUUAAUGAUAGGAAUGACGUAACUAAAUGCAACAUGAUCAUAUCUAACCAGUAUAAUUCCAAAUCUUAUCAGGAAACAAGAAGUCCAAGUAUAUAAUUGCUCUACAAUCUACAAAUAUCUCACACAGGAGGUUCAUACAAAAUUUUAUACUCCUGUUGUCAAUUAAUAUGGCCUGUUUUAUAACAUUAGAUUAGAUUAGAUUCUUCUUUUAUCCUUUCAUCCCAUCACAUGUCUGCUCAAGACUCGUCAGCAAUAUAAUACUUGAAUGUAGCAGACAUAAACACAGCCCACAGUUGAACAUAUACAUAGACAAAGAUUGACUAAAUAAAAAAAGGGGGGCUGGUUUAGCCGAGCAGUCAGUUCUGCUCGGCUAAACCAACCCCCCAUUUUACUAGGAGAAGAGAGGAUUAGCUGUAUUUAGAUGAAAAGAAAAUUAUCAGUGGUUUCUUAAGAAACACAGUUUAGGUACUGCAUAAAUAAGAUUAAUCAAACCAUCCAUGAUGUUCAUUGUCAUGUAAAAUUGAGAUCAUUAAAGGUUAGGAUUUCAGACUGAAGAAAGUAUUUCAUAAAGCUUUAACCAUAAUAUUCUUGAACAACCUUCAUCUGCUUACUGUCCUGAUAAGAUUCAUCACUCACGAGCUAAUCGAGAUAAAAAUGUUAUGCAUGAAUUUGUUUGCGACAUCAGAAAUAUGAAAAGGAAAAAAAGAAGGAAGUAAUGCAUUACCAUGUACCUAACUUUAACAUAAUUGGCAGGUGACUGCCGAUAACCUGCAGGAAAUAAGUCUUUAAGAGAAGAAUCCAGUAAAAUCUUACUUUUACUGAAGAUGUAUACUUAAGGAGGAUAAUCGCUUAAGACAGACCUAUAGGAUGCAUACCUCAAAUCUAACAUCAUAAUUAGUAGCUACAAGGCACAUCUAACAGACAUGCUGCUGUGAGCUUGGCUGCAAAACUUAAGGUACUAUGGGGAAGAUUGAUCCCAGUAUGAUCACCUAGAAGGUAUAAUAUAGUUUCAAUUAGGACUUAUCUUUCUGAUUAAAAGAAAAAUAUGCAGAUCAGAAUUUUAUGUUCCACAUUACCAGGAAAGGAUAUUAGUAGUAUCAUAAAUGAUAACAUCUAUAUAGAAGGUAUGAUCCUUAAGCAUAAAUGAGUACCUAUCUUGCAUUUCAAGCUCUCCCAAUUCCCAGAAAUGGAAGAAAGAAAAAUAAAAUUCAUUUUUUAGAUCUAACGAGUAUCUGGCUCACACCAGCAAUAUGGCUAAUGUUUAAAGAGAUUUCUCAUCAGUAAUCUAAAGUUCUAAACACAUCAACAAAGUCUAGAAUUCAACAAAUUCGUGUCAUCCCUGCUAGUACUACUACUCAUCAUAUCCACUCUAAUGUUAGAUAAGAUCAUUUGGUAUUAUGAGAUCAACAUCUUCAACAGCCAUAAACUAAGUAGAUAUAAGCCCUAAACUUCCACCACAUAAAGGAGAUUAUAAGCCCUAAACUUCCACCACAUAAAGGAGAUAAUAAAAAGUAGGUAAUAAAAUGCAAAAAAGAUAUAAGCCCUUGAAAUAUUGUCUUGAAAGGAUGUGAAACUUGCCACUAUAAAAGCUUUUAACAAAAAAAUGAUCCUAAAAUCAAAAGCUAGAAGCUAUCAAAUUUACUCUAACUGCAGAUUCCUUGUCAACCUUGGAUGCUGAUGAAUUGAACUAUUAGCAACCUUGAGAUACUCUACACAUUAAGGAUACAGUAAGCGGUAAUCCUAACUUGCAAUGACUAGCAUACUGCCCAUGGAUGCUGAAGAUUUCAGUUUAAACCAGAACCAAAAUCUAGCCAUAUAAUAUAGCAACGAAGAACAUGAUAGGUGGGCUCACCCCAAAUUCACUUCCUAGUUCUAUACCUCAUAAUGGUGUAUUUUUACUUUGUAUACAAACUCACUUCUUAGUUCUUACUAUACGUCAUAAUGGUGUGUUUUCACUCUCUAUACAAAUUUAGACUACAUGUAUCUACAUGACCCUUUUAUCCGAAGAAACCAAAUAUAUUAACUUUCAAAACCUCUGCUGUGGUAGGUUAAGUACUAAAUUGCUUCAGCAAGUUCAAAAGUGACCAGACAAGAGGAUGCCUUGCACAUAAAAGGUUAGUGAAAGGCAUAUUAGAAAGAAACCUUUUAUGACAACUUAAAAAACCAAAAAUGCCCUUUUUUAUUUCGGACUCCAAGGAUGAUAAACCAUCUUGCGCAGCCAAUUUCAUACAGAGACCAAAUAAAUAGAAUUCAAAUAGCUUACAUCUCCAAAAUCAUAUUUGUAGAGAAGAUAAAAGGCUAUCACCCUAAAUAUGGUUUAAAUAUUUAGCAGCUCAGAUUCUCAUUUAACUCAAGUUGCUGCCUUUUCUAUAUAUAUUAAUAAACAAACUCCAGUGUACUUCUUUACAUAAUUGGUUAUAAUUUUGAUCGGUGAUAUAUGAUUGAUGUUUUUGACACAGAAAGCUAUACAUUCGCUUCAUAUAUUUUCUUUGUUGUUUUAAAUCUAACAAAUUUGUUUAUACAAGAGAGAAAAUAAAGUAAUAGAAUAAUCAGUAAGAUUUCCCAACCGUUCAAGAUAGUACAGUUGACGAUUCGAUAUUUCAUAUAUCUCAAGCAGAAACAAGAAUUAAGCAGCAGAAAAAAAAUACAUUAAACAUAGGCAUAAGCAUAAACAAGAAGGCACCAAAUGACCUUUGAAAAGAACUUUUGAGCAUGACUCCUGAUCUGCACAGCCGUCUUUGUUCCUAUAUAUUCUGCAAAUCACCAUGUAAAAACAAAAUGGAUAGAAAAUUACAACAAUAAAUAACAAAACUAUUCAUUUGUUGGUCCUAACAAACAUAUCCUACGUAUCUUAGCCUCAAUCCACAAAAACACUAACUCUAAAAUGAUAGCAGCAAAAUCUAAACUAAGAGGGAAAAAGCAAGUGAAAAAACCUUCAAUGCGUUGCCAAGCUCGUCCAUAGAGCUUCAAGGCCUCUAGGAACCUAUUAUGCUCUUCCUCGGUCCAUCUUUCACGUUGUUUCGUAAUAGUAUAAGGCUUCCUAGUCUAUCAUUUAACAUACAAAAUUCAAUGGUCCAAAUUAUAACAAACAGAAACCCCCAUUUUUUUACAAAGCUUCAUUUAAGAGAAGAGUUUACCUUAAUUACAAGUUCUUCACCAGAGGAGUAUGUGUCCAUUGAAACAGCGUCACCGCUGCUUCAAAUCCUCUCUAGCAAGCAAAGAGUAUAUCACAAACCUCCUUUCAUUUCUUCCAACAUCCAGUACGACAAAUAGUAAUGCCGUUUUUGAGCUCCACAAAACCUGAUGAAUGCUAUUUAAUACUGAAAAAAGAAAAAACACAAAAGAACAACAACAACAAAUCGAUGGAGAUCCGUCUCUGUUUCUAUUUUUAUUCCAAUUAAAUUAAUAUUAAUUUCUCAUCAUUUAAUAAAAAUAUUUACUUGAUAAAAAUUUGGGUGAAUGCUAAAUCUCUGGAAAAAUUAAAAUAAAAUAAAUAAAAAUUAAGUAUCCACCGUAACAAAGAGAAGAGACGGCUUCUUCCAAAGAACUUAAAGGAAAAUUCUCACCAAAACGAACCCGUAGACGCCAAAACCUUUAAUAGAAAAUGAUACGAAAAAAAAAAGAAACUUUAAUUAGUUAUCAACAACACACUUCCACUGUUCCACAUCCAAUCUAUCUAUUAACAGCCAAUAAUAGUUCUUUACCUCCUUUUUGGUUGCCGAGAGAAAAAACAAAAGGAUUCAAAUUCAAUCACUUUUCUUUCGUUUCUCUACUCAGCUGCAUAUAAAGAACACAACUUCCAAACUCAGCUUAGCAAAGCCUUUAAGGAAAGCCCUAGAAAUGAAGUGUAAAUACCUUAAAGAGAUAACCAUGGAAGAUGACAACAAUGGAAGCAACGAUCACGUAUCAAAAAUGGGUUCACCGGAAACCAGCCGGAGAGCUCAUAGUUUCCGGCAAUGACAAGAUCGGAAUCAACAGAAUUGGAAAAAGAAAAAUUGUCUUUUUUGGGAGAAAAGAACUUGAAUAAACCCAAAAAAAAAGUGAAAGCAAGCUUAUUUUCUGGUGAUAAACUAAAAAAACACCAGAAACUACAGUAUGGGGAAGAAACAAAAGGAGAAAUCUCAGCCACUACAAUUUCAAGAGGAUUUAUUUUUUGGAAAAUUACAAAAAUUGGGCAGAAAUUUAUUUGAGGCUAUAAAAGAAUGAACGGUAAGAUACAUUAGAUGUUGCCAAGUGGCAAUAAGUUAGUGGCUGAUUCAACUAAAAGCCCACCCUUGCACUUUUUCUCUUAUUUUUUUAUCUUUUUUUCUUUUUGCCCUUCUUGUUUCCUACCUUCAUCUUCAAAUAUCAGCCACAAGCUCCCAAUGGUCUUGGUGUUAAAUUAGUAAAAGCGCCUUUUGGUAUGCCACGUGGUUCCUGCCGUCAACGUUUAUGCGAUUCGUUGGCGUGGGUAACCGGUACGUGUCGGUUACAGGGGUAGCUUUGGUGUCAAAAGCCACCGGAUUUGUGACCAUUAGUCACUGUAUGCGGUGAUGAGAUUUUAGGGUUGCAACAAAUCUAGGGAUAUGCUAUGCUCCCCGUUUUCUUCUUUCGAUUUAGUUGCCAAUUUUUUUAGGUUAAAAUUUUCCAUAAAUCCUUGUAUUUUUUUAUAGAUUUGAAAUUUAAUUCCUGUAAUUUUAUUUUUAGGAAUUUAAUCAUUUUACUUUUCAUAUUUUUAAAUUCAGGUUUUACGGUUAACGUUGUUAAAAUUAUUUGUUAAAUUCAGGUUCAUUAUAAUAUUAUUUUUUUAGUUAAGUUGCUACCAAGUAAAUUUUUUUUAUUUCAAUAUGUAUUAUAAACCAAUUUAACAAAAAAAAUUGUAACAAUGUUAACAAUUAGACUUAAAUAAAUUUUAAAUUUGCGAAGAGUACAGGGACAUGACCUAUUUUAACCUUUUUUUAUUAAACUUGUGAGUUACAAUUUAAUUCCUAAAUUUGAAUUUCAUUAAAGUGUAUUGGCAUGUCACUCUAAUAUUAGGUCAUAUUGUCAUUUGAAAUUUUUAAAAACUUUAUAUGAUAUCUAAAGAAUGCAAAAGGUAAAAAUUAAAGAAAUUCAUGUGACGAUGUGAAAUAAUCUCAUAAUGUCACAUCAUUAUACUUUAACAAGAUCUAAGUUAAGAAAUUAAAUUGAGAAAAGCUAUCAAAUUUAGAGACUAAAGUGGAUAAAAAAAAUUGAAGGAUCAAGAUAAAAAUUUUAUCAAAUUUAAGGACUAAAUGUUGCUUUAUGAUUUUUUUUAUCUUUUUAAGAUAAGAGUAAACUAGAUUCUGAACUUCAUUUAAAAAGAUGAUGUAUCAUGUUUUGUCAUUAAUGACUCAUUCUAAAACAACGCCCCUAUUUAUUGUAAUGAUAUAUUAUUAUUCAGUGCCUUGAUGUCCUCCGCUAAUGGUUGGAGCCUCCAAUCGAUGGAACUUACAUCCUGCUCAAAACUCUUGCAUAAAGCUUUCAUGUUAGGUGCAGAGAUACCAAUAGUCAAUCCAAACCUCUUUGCCUCAAUCAUUGCUUCUCUUGUUACGAAUAAAAUAGCUUGCUUAGUGCUAACAAAGUGCUACAAGAACUUGUAAAUUUGAUUCCUUGAAUAUUAAAGAUUGUUAGAGACACCCCGAGGCAGAUAGUCCCUUUCUUCCAAGCUACCAAAGCAAUUCCCGAUAUGGUACCAUGAGGAACAUUCGAUCUAAUUGAUUUGCUCUGUUGUCCUUGGGAAUAUCUCUCCGCAGCAUUCUUCCAUUUCUUGCCCUCAAACACCUGUAUCCAUAGUCCUUGAAGAUUUCAAACUUUGUUGAUUACAUUUAAGGAUUAGCAUCAUAACCUUUAAAAUAGCAUUUAUUUCUAUGAAUCCGUAUAUUUCAUAAAAUGUGUAUAAUCACUUGAUACGUAUUAUUCAUUAAUAAAAUAAAGAAAUUGAUGUUGAUGCUUUUCCUCCUUAGUAUAACAUACAAGAUAAAACUCCGAAUAUCACAAUUGUUAACUUGAGUCCACUUGAAACCCAAAAUCAAUCCCAACCAAGAUGAUCAUAGGAUUCCAUAUGUUAGAAUAAUUAAUGGUUUUGAUACAACUUGCAGCUUUUGUGGCUACCUAUUUCCUCUUUUAAAGGCAAAACUUUGACAUAUAUUUUUUAUAGAAAUAGUUAAUUCAAAAGGUUAAUAAUUAAGAUAAAAUAUCAUUUUGAUAUUUUUAAAAUUCUUUUUAAUUAUUUUAAAAAUUAGUUAAAAAUUAUUAAAAUUUUAACCUAAUCCUUUAAACCGGAGCUUUUGGGUUUUACCCAAUUCUUUGAAACUUAAUCCUUUGAUGUUUUUCUUAUUCUUUUUAAUUCACAUCUGUAAUGCCAGACUGUUGUUUUAGCAUAUACCAAUGAUUAAAAUAUAAAAACAACUCAAAAUUAGAACAGUUAUUUUUAUAAUAAAAUUAUUAAAAUAUAAAAAAAACUCAAUAUUGAAUCAGUUUUUUUUCAAUUUAACAGAAAUUAUAAGAAAAAAAAGCUGGGUUUUAAUUAAGAGAACCCAAAACCCCAAUCUUUAAAUUCUCUGAUUUAAUCAAACUAGCAAAAGUUAAAAAAAAACGACAAUUAGACUACAAGGGAAAAAUCAAAAGAGACAAAAAAAUCUUUUCGUUCUUUUAAUGAUUUUUAUAAUUUUUAAUUAUUUUUAAGAUUUUUUAAAAGAUUUAUUGUUAAUUUUUUUGAAAAAUAUCAAAAUAAUAUUUUUAACUAUAAUUUAAUAAUUAAAUUAAUUGUUAAUCAUUUGAAUUAAGUAUCAUGUCAUUCACUUAACGGAAAUUAACGGACAAAUUAUUAAAAUGUAAUAUUUAAAUAACAUUAAUAAUCAUUUCGUACCCUCUAAAAGUUCAAUCAUUCAAUUAAAUAAAAUCGAAUAUUCAAUCGUUACACAUAUUACUUCUACUAGAGCCAUUGAAUAAACCAAAAACGGUUCUUAAUUUGUCUACAAAGUCAACACUCUAUCCUAUACACUCACAUGAAUAAAAUUCCAAUUCGGUCAGCCCCUUAAUUAUUAGAUUUAUUCAUGUUAUGCUAAUUAUUCAAUACCAUCCAAUUCAUGCAUUAAUUUGCCUUAAUUAUCCUAAAUUAACAUAGUUAGCAAUUAAUCAAGAGGGAAAACAGUUCAUUUGAGUACUACUACUUAAUAAUUUCCAUCCAAUAAUGAAAUCUAGCCCUUGAUAUAAUUACACUCAAAUCCCUCUUAACUUUUAUUACUUUUUAGUAGUCCCCACCAAUUCACAUUUGAAUCCCUCCACUUUAAGCAUUUAUUUACUAGAUAACCCCCACUUCAGUUUUCCUACUAUUUUCUCUUAAAUUACACCAUCUCAAUUUACUUAUUUCAGCAUAAAUAUUUAAGUUCACUGUUCAUCUCGAAAUUUACUAUUCGGAUGUCCGUGGUCUAAAUUUUGAGUAGUUUAAAUAUUAUAAAUUAAAAAAAAUCUGUAUAAAUUUUGAUAUUAAAUAAAUUGAUCCUCUAAAAAGAUCAAAUCGGUUUAAUCCUGACAAGUUUGAAAAUAAACACCUAAGACAAUUAAUCACACCGUAAUUAUUUUUCACAAUAUAUAUAAUUUUUUAUUAGUACAAUAACAAAUUUAACCCACAACAUUUAUAUAUUCUGUGAAUUCAAUUUUGAUGUAACAAAUUUAAUCCACAAAAUUUUCACAUUAUCAACAUUUAUUUAAAUUUAUUAUUAUACUAAUAAAAAUUAUAUAUAAUUGACCAAAAAGCAUCACUAUUAUAAUCAAUUAUCAUUAGUUGCUUUUUUAAAUCUACAAACCCCAAUUACUCCAAUUUUGAGAGAAAUUUAAAACCGACUGGAAUCACCAAAAACAAACGUGACUACCAAAAAUCCAGAGAAAACAUCCACCGUAGAUCAACUAUAUGCUAGGGAAUUAAUAUCAAAAAAGUUAUAUGGUAGAGAAGAUGUCGGUACCAUUUGUAUUUUUGUCUUCAAAAUCUUGAAAAAUAUUUUUGGGAAAUAUGUUUUCCUGAACUAAAAUAACUUGGAAAAUAUUUAGUGCAUUGGUAAUUUUUUAAAAUUAUUUUUGGAAUAAAAAAGUACAUGGUGAAUGUAUUAUAUACUAACCCAAAUAAAUUUUAGUUAAAAAUGAUGAUAAACUAAUUUUUAAUAAAAGUAAUAUUAAGUCCUAAACAAUUAAAUACAUCAAAAGUAACAUUUUUAUUGUAUAUAAAAGCGAAAAAAUAUAUACAAAACAUAAAUAAUAUGAAAAUAUAUUAUUUAAUUUUAAAAUUAACAACACUACUUAUCAGAUAUAUGUAUACAUUUGCAAAGCUUCCGAAAACAAAAAACCACAAUACAAAAACAAAAACAAUGAGUCAAAUGAUAACUAAACACCAAAGCAAACAGACAAGGCUUGGAAGAAAAAAAAAGAGAGUAAAUAUACUUUUUGGUUCUCUUCUGAAUUUAAUAUUUAAAUUGGUACCUGUUAAGGGGUCAGCUCCUUAGGGCAGCCAAUUCGAACUCUACAAUCGAUAGUAUCGUACUGAUAUUAAGGUUUUGUCCCCAACCUCCAAGGAGAGUCGUGUACAGUUCAGUAGGGGAGUACCUUAGUUGAUAGAAAUAGGUACUUGCAAAACUCGAAAAAAAUGUCAAUAUAAAGUGUGUAAAUAAUAAAGAAGGUACUUGGCCACCGCAAAAUUCAAGACACCAAGAUACCUCUAUUAUUAUUCACACACCCUAUACUCUCAUUUCUCCCAAAUCUUGCAACCAACUAAAUUACCCCUUUAAUGAAUCGUACAUUGCUCUCCACAAAAGCUAGGGAAAAAACCUCAAUACAAGGAUAAAACCAUCAGUUGUUGAGGGACCGGAUCAACUGCCCGACCAACCACACUUCAAAUACUUCCACUAAAAGAGCCAAUCCCCCAUCAAUAGUACUUUUUUUUUUCGGUUAAGACUAUACUCAAAUUUGAUUUCAUCACAUCGUUAAUCUUGAAUGACAUGGACCAAUCAGAUUUAAACACAUGGGACACAUCAUGUCAUCAACUGAUGUACCACGUGUAAUAAAUUGAUUGGACCACAUAAUCCAAUUUUAAAAGAGCUACAAAAAAUUGACUAAAACCUGUAAGAAAAGCCAAAUUCAAGUAACAAUUCGGACAAAUAUGUUACAUAUGUACCAAUUUGAACAUCGAAACCAAAUUCAGGUAUCAAAAAAUAUAUCUACCCAGAAAAAACGAAGCAUAAAAACAGUUAAACUAUGAAUCAGUGGGGCAAUCUGUUUAAAUUGCCUUUUCAUUGCAUAAAAAAGGUUUCAGCUUCAGCUAGAGUUCACUAAGCAAAAGGUAGAAGAAUAAUGAUAAAGAAAGGCAUUCAGAUUCAGUACUUACUUUAAAUGCUUCCAUCUCAGAGGGAGUUUUUUAACUGCAGUUGCAAGCAUAAAAAAGUCCAGGAAAGCGAAUAAGUCAAUGUAGAUAUUAGAUAGUACACAACACCACCUACACGAAAAGUCUCGUGAGCUGCAAUCGAAUAAAAGUCUUUUAAGAUCAACAUAUGAAAAGGAAAUAAGAUAUGGGGGAAGAACAUUAGAGAUUGCAUUCAACAAACAAACUUUGCCCUUGUUAAUUGUAUGCAAUUGUGUAAAAGUCAAGUUGAAGCUUCCCCUUCCAAGCGUACCCUCUUGGGACCUUUCUCUUCACCUUGACUGCCGGUGUUCAUCACUCUGUUUUCUUUGGCUUCCACAGAACACCUUUUGUAAGGUUUAAAUCCAGUUCGACCAGCUUUUAGUUUUGAAUGUCCUAAUCCAAUAGUCAGCAGGCCCUCUUCUGUAGUGUUCUUGUCUCUUGAUAAUGCAUUUUUCACAGUUUCUUGAUGAUCAGAACAAGAACCCAAUGUCUUGCUGUUGAGAUCUAAAGUUGAUAUUUCUUCAUCUUCCUCAGCUGGAUUUUGCUUGUCUUCACCUAUAUUUUCCUUUUGCUGCCCCUUGCUCUUGCCAUCAUGUGGAGGAGAAAAGCUUUGCGGGAGUACCUCUCGGGAGAAGAGGGCUUGAAAAGCUAGCCGCCCCUGGAUAAGUAGUGGAGCCAUACAGUGACAAUGGUACAAUACAAUUAGAAUAAUAAUUAAAGUUAAGCUAAUGGGAAAAUUGAGAUAUCGACUCACCUCUUCAGAUACCUCCUUCCAAGAAUCACUCAGGUUGCUAUUGCUUCUACUACUACGACGGCUACAUUCAACUUGUGGAUGAUUUGGGUCAGCUCCUUUUGAAUCUUCCUUGUCUUUUUCAUGUUUUUCUAACGCAUCUGUCUCUACCUCACUGCUUGAAGGAGUGUUGGAGCCACAUGAGGACCGGUCAACUUGUUUUUUGUUCUUUGUUUUAUUUGCAUCCUGAGGCUCAAUUACUUCAGCAGCCAUCUCAUCAUCGGUAGCUUUCACUCCAGUAUUCACUUUUGCAUCUCCUCUCUCUUCACAGUCCGACGAUGAUGAAGUAGGUGAUUUAGAUGAUGAAUGCUGACCUUGCAAAGCUUCAGAGUUUUCGGGGUCUAGUUGCUCAACCUGCAGAGAUAGAGCUUGAUCAGUUUUACCCUUUUGUUCUGUCUUGGCAGCUGGAGGUUGACCAUUCUCCAUUGGUGGAACUGCAGCAGUGGAUGCAGGAAAACAGGUAAAGCCUGUAUGCAGAGGAGCACAUACAGGAAACAGUCCAUGGGCGGCCCACCAUGCAGUUGCAGCUGCUACAGUUGCAGCAGCAAUUGCAGCCAUACUUGGAGCAGAGUUGAUUUGUCUAGAUGGGAAACCUCCUAAGCCGCAUGCAGGAGAAUCGCCUGAGCUUUCAAUAUUCGCAUAAGGCCAAAAUCUUGCUGCAAAGCUUGCUGCUGCAUGGGCAGCUGGAUUCUGUAACAAAGUAGAUACAAUGAGACUGGAAAAAGUGGAGGAGACAUGUAGAAAUGAUCGAUAGUCCUGUUGAUUUGGGCGAAGAUGCAUAAAGGGAGUGUGAAAAGGUGGCAGUGCCUGCUGAGUUGAUCUCGGAGCAUUAUUCUGAUGUUCAGUAGCUGCAGAUGCAGCUAGAUUUGCAGACAGGUUAGGUCCAUGAACAUCGCCCAUAGGGUGAAAUACAGAAUCCUGAAAUGACAUAUCCAGGGAAGCAUUUUGAGCACAUGUUCUCAGGCUUCCAUCUAGGACAUGCACAGAAACAUGUCGAGGAAAAUUUUGAGCGGCUUGCAUUUCAUCUGCACAUAAAGCACCAUCCAAAUCAUCUUUUCUCUGGACUUGAGCUGGUUUAUCAUAUGAAGUGCAAGAAUACUCCAGGUUUGAGG